This 292-nucleotide ribosomal RNA is filed under the name uncultured bacterium. RNAcentral describes it as "partial 16S ribosomal RNA". The record is from RNAcentral.
GGACUACACGGGUUUCUAAUCCUGUUUGCUCCCCACGCUUUCGCAUCUCAGCGUCAGUACAUGGCCAGGAGCUCGCCUUCGCCACUGAUGUUCUUCCAGAUAUCUACAGAUUUCACCCCUACACCUGGAAUUCCAGCUCCCCUUCCUGUACUCAAGUCUCACAGUUUCCAAUGCGUUCCUGCAGUUAAGCUGCAGUCUUACACACCAGACUUAUGAAACCGCCUGCAUGCCCUUUACGCCCAAUAAUUCCGAACAACGCUCGCCCCAUACGUGUUACCGCGGCGGCUGGCAC